RNAcentral lists this ribosomal RNA (3126 nucleotides) under Triticum aestivum (bread wheat). RNAcentral describes it as "partial small subunit ribosomal RNA". The record is from RNAcentral. Lineage: Eukaryota; Viridiplantae; Streptophyta; Magnoliopsida; Poales; Poaceae.
AUGUCGUCGCGGCCGUCUUCGUCGUCCUCGUCGAGGCGGAGCAGCUCGCCCUUCUCCGCGGGGAGCCGCCGCCCGCCGACCUCCUCCUCCUCCUCCAGCUCCUACAUGGCCGGGCGGCUCAUCCCCCGCUCCUCCUCCUCCGUCUCCUCGUACGGCGGGGGCGGGGGCUCGAGGUCCACCACCCCCGGACGCCGGUCCGCCCCCGCACCGCCGCCAGCUCCUGCUCCGGUGCCGUUCCCUAGCGCGGACGAGCUCGUCAUUGAGGACACCUCCCGAUCAGGCGACAGCAUCUCCGUCACCAUCCGCUUCCGGCCACUCAGCGAACGGGAGAUCCAGCGCGGCGACGAGAUCACGUGGUAUCCCGAUGGGGAUCGGCUUGUGCGGUGUGACUACGUCCAGCCAUCGGCUUAUGGUUAUGAUAGAGUUUUUGGGCCUUCAACAGCUACAGAGGCUGUCUAUGAUGUUGCUGCUCGGCCUGUUGUGAAGGGUGCUAUGGAGGGCAUAAAUGGGACAGUUUUUGCGUAUGGUGUCACAAGCAGUGGGAAAACCCACACAAUGCAUGGUGACCAGAAUUGUCCUGGAAUAAUCCCAUUAGCCAUCAAGGAUGUCUUCAGCUUAAUACAAGAGACUCCUGGAAGGGAAUUUUUGCUACGUGUAUCAUACCUGGAAAUCUAUAAUGAGGUGAUAAAUGAUCUGCUUGAUCCUACUGGACAAAAUCUGCGUGUGAGGGAGGAUGCACAGGGAACAUAUGUAGAAGGAAUAAAAGAAGAAGUUGUACUUUCUCCAGGACAUGCUCUCUCUUUCAUAGCUGCUGGUGAAGAGCAUCGGCAUGUUGGUUCAAACAACUUCAACUUAUUUAGCAGCCGAAGUCAUACUAUUUUCACUAUGAUGAUUGAAAGCAGUGAUCGUGGUGACGAGUAUGAUGGAGCCAUGUACUCACAGCUUAAUUUGAUUGAUCUAGCUGGCUCAGAGAGUUCUAAGACAGAGACUACGGGGUUAAGAAGAAGGGAAGGAUCUUAUAUUAACAAGAGUCUUUUAACUCUCGGAACAGUUAUCGGGAAGCUCAGUGAAGGGAGAGCAACACAUAUACCCUAUCGAGAUUCUAAGUUGACUCGUCUGCUUCAGUCAUCACUGAGUGGCCAUGGUCACGUCUCACUAAUUUGCACAAUUACCCCAGCAUCGAGUAACAUGGAGGAAACCCAUAAUACAUUGAAAUUUGCAAGCAGAGCAAAACGUGUUGAAAUUUAUGCCUCUCGUAACCGGUUAGUUGAUGAGAAGUCUUUGAUCAAGAAGUAUCAGAGAGAAAUAUCAUCUCUAAAGCAAGAGCUUGAUGAGUUUAGGAGAGGAAUGCUUGGGGGUGCUAGUCAGGAAGAAAUAAUGAUUUUACGGCAACAGUUGGAAGAGGGCCAGGUAAAAAUGCAAUCUCGCCUUGAGGAGGAAGAGGAUGCCAAAGCUGCUCUGAUGAGCAGAAUACAGCGGUUGACCAAGUUAAUACUUGUUUCCACGAAGACCAAUAUUCCUGCUUUGACAGAUUCGUCUCGGCUUCAGCGCCAAAAUUCUGUUAGUGAGGAAGAUAAGUUAAGCUCUUCCCAAGAUAGUACUAUGGUAGUCCAAAAUGACAGUACAUCAAAGGACACCUUAUCAUCUGCUUUGCCUGAUCCGUUGGAUGAGAUCAAUGGACUAAGGUCCGCUAGCGGAGAUCCUUCUUCAGUAACUGGUUCAGGACAAGAUUCAAUGCAGGUGGGAAUCACGGAAUCAGAUCAUUUGGAUCUAUUGAUUGAGCAAGUUAAGAUGCUUGCCGGGGAGAUUGCUUUUGGUACCAGUUCGCUGAAAAGAUUAAUUGAACAAUCCAUAGAAGACCCUGAAGGGACAAAGAAUCAAAUAGAGAAUUUAGAGCAUGAAAUCCAGCAAAAGAGGAGGCAUCUGCGAGCCCUGGAACAAAAAAUCAUGGAAAGCGGUGAGGCAUCAGUUGCUAAUGCUUCUAUGGUGGAUAUGCAGCAGACUAUUACGAAGUUGACAGCUCAAUGCAAUGAGAAGGCUUUUGACUUAGAGUUAAAAUCGGCUGAUAAUCGUGUCCUUCAGGAGCAGCUACAACAGAAGAGUAUGGAAAUCAAUGAUUUACAAGAAAAAGUUCUACGCCUUGAGGCACAGUUCAUACCGAAAACCAACAUAUCCCCUGAACAAUGCACACAUCAGGAGAUUCUUGAUUUGAAAUCCAAACUUCAGUCCAAGGAAGUUGAAACUGAGAAGCUUAAAUACCAGCAUCUGGAAGUGAUUGAAGAAAAUCGAGACCUAAUCAGUCAGAACCACAAAUUAAGUGAGGAAGCUGCUUAUGCAAAAGAAUUGGCAUCUUCUGCAGCUGUUGAGCUUAAGAAUUUGGCUGAAGAAGUUACAAAGCUAUCGAUACAAAAUGCAAGGCAGGCAAAGGAGUUAUUAAUUGCCCAGGAGAUGGCACAUUCCAGGGUUCCUGUUAGAAAGGGGCGCCCAGCAGGUAGGGGCAGGGAUGAAGUUGGGACCUGGAGUCUUGAUUUAGAGGAUAUGAAGAUGGAGCUACUGGCGCGAAAAAAGAGGGAAGCUGCUCUAGAAGCAGCUUUGGCAGAGAAGGAGCUUCUUGAAGAGGAGUACAAGAAGAAGUUUGAUGAAGCAAAGAAAAAAGAGCUUUCUCUAGAAAAUGAUCUAGCAGGCAUGUGGGUUCUUGUUGCUAAGUUGAAGAGAGGGGCUUUCAGCAUAUCUGAUUUAAACGUUGAUGAUCGGUCUAUCAAUCUAGCUGACAUAACUAAUGAUGCAAAGGAAAACAAAGGUGACACAAAUGUAGCUUUAGUUGAGAAACAAGUGUCAGAUGAUACUGUGAAGCCAUUGACUGCAGAAGAAUAUAGAAGUCCAGAAUUUGAACCUCUUCUUGUUCGUCUCAAGGCUAAAAUUCAAGAGAUGAAGGAGAAGGAAACUGACCCCCUGAGUGAUAAAGAUGGCAAUUCCCAUGUCUGCAAAGUAUGUUUUGAAUCCGCAACUGCUGCAGUUUUGCUUCCUUGUCGGCAUUUUUGCUUGUGCAAGCCUUGCGCACUUGCCUGUUCGGAAUGCCCUCUGUGCCGCACACGAAUCGUAGACAGGAUAAUUACCUUCACAUAG